GGGGAUUUGGCUCAGUGGUAGAGCACUUGCCUAGGAAGCGCAAGGCCCUGGGUUCGGUCCCCAGCUCCA
Rattus norvegicus (Norway rat) is the source of this 69-nucleotide non-coding RNA. The record is from Rfam. Lineage: Eukaryota; Metazoa; Chordata; Mammalia; Rodentia; Muridae.